RNAcentral lists this ribosomal RNA (1472 nucleotides) under Chlamydia trachomatis. RNAcentral describes it as "16S ribosomal RNA". It matches the Rfam family "Bacterial small subunit ribosomal RNA". Lineage: Bacteria; Pseudomonadati; Chlamydiota; Chlamydiia; Chlamydiales; Chlamydiaceae. The record is from RNAcentral.
AUACAUGCAUGUUGAACGGGAUGUAGCAAUACAUUCAGUAGCGAAUGGGUGAGUAACACGUACCUAACCUACCUUUAAGACUGGGAUAACUAUUGGAAACAAUAGCUAAUACCGGAUAUAGUUAUUUAUCGCAUGAUGAGUAAUAGAAAGGAGCUUCACAGCUUCACUUAAAAAUGGGGGUGCGGAACAUUAGUUAGUUGGUAGGGUAAUGGCCUACCAAGACGAUGAUGUUUAGCCGGGCCGAGAGGCUGUACGGCCACACUGGGACUGAGAUACGGCCCAGACUCCUACGGGAGGCAGCAGUAAGGAAUUUUCCACAAUGAGCGAAAGCUUGAUGGAGCGACACAGCGUGCAGGAUGAAGUUCUUCGGAAUGUAAACUGCUGUUAUAAGGGAAGAAAAAAUAGAAUAGGAAAUGAUUUUAUCUUGACGGUACCUUAUUAGAAAGCGACGGCAAACUAUGUGCCAGCAGCCGCGGUAAUACAUAGGUCGCAAGCGUUAUCCGGAAUUAUUGGGCGUAAAGCGUCCGUAGGUUUUUUGCUAAGUCUGGAGUUAAAUGCUGAAGCUCAACUUCAGUCCGCUUUGGAUACUGGCAAAAUAGAAUUAUAAAGAGGUUAGCGGAAUUCCUAGUGAAGCGGUGGAAUGCGUAGAUAUUAGGAAGAACACCAAUAGGCGAAGGCAGCUAACUGGUUAUAUAUUGACACUAAGGGACGAAAGCGUGGGGAGCAAACAGGAUUAGAUACCCUGGUAGUCCACGCCGUAAACGAUGAUCAUUAGUUGGUGGAAUAAUUUCACUAACGCAGCUAACGCGUUAAAUGAUCCGCCUGAGUAGUAUGCUCGCAAGAGUGAAAUUUAAAGGAAUUGACGGGAACCCGCACAAGCGGUGGAGCAUGUGGUUUAAUUUGAAGAUACGCGUAGAACCUUACCCACUCUUGACAUCUUCUGCAAAGCUAUAGAGAUAUAGUGGAGGUUAACAGAAUGACAGAUGGUGCAUGGUUGUCGUCAGCUCGUGUCGUGAGAUGUUAGGUUAAGUCCUGCAACGAGCGCAACCCUUUUCUUUAGUUACUAAUAUUAAGUUAAGGACUCUAGAGAUACUUGCCUGGGUAACCAGGAGGAAGGUGGGGACGACGUCAAAUCAUCAUGCCUCUUACGAGUGGGGCAACACACGUGCUACAAUGGUCGGUACAAAGAGAAGCAAUAAUGGUGACAUGGAGCAAAUCUCAAAAAACCGAUCUCAGUUCGGAUUGAAGUCUGCAACUCGACUUCAUGAAGUCGGAAUCGCUAGUAAUCGUAGAUCAGCUACGCUACGGUGAAUACGUUCUCGGGUUUUGUACACACCGCCCGUCGCACCAUGGGAGUUGGUAAUGCCCAAAGUCGGUGAGUUAACUUCGGAGACCAUUGCCUAAGGCAGGACUGAUGACUGGGGUAAAGUCGUAACAAGGUAUCCCUACGAGAACGUGGGGAUGGAACACCU